AUGAAUCGUUAUCAAGUCUCUCGCCCCCUUGCUCCUGCUCCUCACCUCCUGCUCUCUAGCCAAGAAAAAAAUCACCACCCACUUCCUGCCUACAAGGUGUUCGACCAAAUGUCCAGCCACGAAGAGUUGUUCACCGGCGGCGUUCUUCACGUCACUGUGCAUCAUGUGUACUACCCGGUCACUGAGGAGACGCUGCAACAGGUGUUUACAUUGUAUGGUGUGGUGAAGAUCUCCAUGUUCCAGAGAAUCAACCAUGUGGAGGCAGUGGUUCAGCUUCGAUCAAGACGCGGAGCAGCGCGGGCUCUUGCCAUGCAUGGUCGGUGCAUCUAUGAGCGUGCCUGCCUCCUCGACAUCCAGGAUGUGUCACCGGAGUACAACCUGCACUUGUGCUCGCUGCUCGAGCAGAAGCAGACUGCAACCGUGGUCGAGUACACGACGGUGUUCUGGGAAUGCGUACAUCGUGUGCUGGAUCUCAACCCCAACCUGAGCAUCAAGAGUUUUGUCCACCAAUACAUUGAGGGUUUGCAGGAAGAUAUCAAGGAUGUCGUGCGGUCGCAAUCUCCAUUAAGCAUCACCGGGACUUCGUCCCUUGCCCGGAUAAGGGAGGAUGAAAUCGUGCAGGAGGCGGCAAUGGCUGCGGAGAAACUUGAUGACGGCCAUGGAGUUCACGUCCUCAUGCCUACGGUGAUCCUCACGGACGUCUUCCUUGAGCCCACUACCCCAGUGGAGUGCAGUGCAGAUGACAACAUCAUCACCAUUGACAGCAGCAACCAUGCUGCACCGACACCUAUCACAUGUUUGACAGAGUGCCCAAGUCCCGCCGCCGUUGACAUCUCCCCUGAGCCGGCAGCUUCUGCUCUAUGCGGAGAGACCAUCGACAUCGAAGCCAUCAGUGUUGCUGCACCAACAUUCGAUGUGUGCUCUAUUGUUGGUCCGACCAAUGCUGAAGUCAACAGUUAUGUGCCGGUGCCCCUCAUUGUGUGCAGUGUCAAACCAUUCUCCGCAGCUCCUCUCAAGGUCGUGCCAACCAUAGCGCAUUGGUCAUGUUCCACCCCCAAACUGGACACCAUGGCGUCAACAAGGUGUUGGACCCUCUGCUUCGACCACAUUGGUGCGUUGACGCCCACGUACAUGCUGGAUAAUAAUGUGAACAUAAAGCAACAAGCACAAAUGUUACUACCAAUGCCAUGGCCAUCAUUUAAAUGCCAUUCAGAAGCAAGCAGUCCUCAAGAUCCACGUCCAGCAACUCAAGGUAUAUUUGGGAAACUAUCUACAUGUCAGCCACACGAGGAUCUCAAAUGUUGGGCUGCCAGUUUGGUAUUGCAUUGGAAUAGCUCAUUUGAUGGACACUAUUUACAACUACUUGCUGCACUGAGAAGUUCCCGGUGUGAGUUAUAUUGUAUUGGGGGCCCCUGUGGUUAUUGGCAAUAUGCAUAUCCACAGCAGUGGCGUUCAUCUCAGCGAGAAAGUUAUACGAAUUUUGGGAGGGCUGGCGAAGCUACAUUGAACACAAAACAAAAAUCACAAAUUUUAUUAAGUGGCAUUCUUGUGGAAUUUGUGAGUAGGCGAACCCCCGGAGUCGGCUAUUUCUGCCAAACAUCUGACCAGAAGAACAAAAGGCUUAAUUACAUUCUUGAAGCGGGUGAACAAGUUAUGAGAUGUGGUCUGCAAAAAGUAGCGUUCUUGCCUUCCUGA
This 1695-nucleotide ribosomal RNA is filed under the name Triticum aestivum (bread wheat). Its description in RNAcentral is "partial small subunit ribosomal RNA". Lineage: Eukaryota; Viridiplantae; Streptophyta; Magnoliopsida; Poales; Poaceae. The record is from RNAcentral.